CCUACGGGGUGCAGCAGUGAGGAAUAUUGGUCAAUGGACGAGAGUCUGAACCAGCCAAGUAGCGUGAAGGAUGACUGCCCUAUGGGUUGUAAACUUCUUUUAUAUGGGAAUAAAAUGUUCCACGUGUGGGAUUUUGUAUGUACCCUAUGAAUAAGGAUCGGCUAACUCCGUGCCAGCAGCCGCGGUAAUACGGAGGAUCCGAGCGUUAUCCGGAUUUAUUGGGUUUAAAGGGAGCGUAGGUGGAUUGUUAAGUCAGUUGUGAAAGUUUGCGGCACAACCGUAAAAUUGCAGUUGAAACUGGCAGUCGUGAGUACAGUAGAGGUGGGCGGAAGUCGUGGUGUAGCGGUGAAAUGCUUAGAUAUCACGAAGAACUCCGAUUGCGAAGGCAGCUCACUGGACUGCAACUGACACUGAGGCUCGAAAGUGUGGGUAUCAAACAGGAUUAGAUACCCGAGUAGUC
Molecule: ribosomal RNA, 460 nt
Filed under: uncultured bacterium
Lineage: Bacteria
Description: partial 16S ribosomal RNA
Rfam family: Bacterial small subunit ribosomal RNA
Source: RNAcentral